RNAcentral lists this ribosomal RNA (206 nucleotides) under uncultured bacterium. RNAcentral's name for it is "partial 16S ribosomal RNA". It matches the Rfam family "Bacterial small subunit ribosomal RNA", at positions 568 to 774 of the family's 1533-position model. The record is from RNAcentral.
AGCGCAGACGGUUUAUUAAGUCUGAUGUGAAAGCCCGGAACUCAACUCCGGAAUGGCAUUGGAAACUGGUUAACUUGAGUGCAGUAGAGGUAAGUGGAACUCCAUGUGUAGCGGUGGAAUGCGUAGAUAUAUGGAAGAACACCAGUGGCGAAGGCGGCUUACUGGACUGCAACUGACGUUGAGGCUCGAAAGUGUGGUAGCAAACA